AUACGUAGGGAGCAAACGUUGUCCGGAUUUAUUGGGCGUAAAGGGCUCGUAGGCGGUUCAACAAGUCGGUCGUGAAAGCCCGGGGCUCAACCCCGGGACGCCGGUCGAAACUGUUGUGACUAGAGUUCGGUAGAGGUGAGUGGAAUUCUCGGUGUAGCGGUGGAAUGCGCAGAUAUCGAGAGGAACACCAUUAGCGAAGGCGGCUCACUGGGCCGAUACUGACGCUGAGGAGCGAAAGCGUGGGGAGCAAACAGGAUUAGAAACCCUAGUAGUCC
RNAcentral lists this ribosomal RNA (275 nucleotides) under uncultured bacterium. Its description in RNAcentral is "partial 16S ribosomal RNA". It matches the Rfam family "Bacterial small subunit ribosomal RNA", at positions 523 to 796 of the family's 1533-position model. The record is from RNAcentral.